RNAcentral lists this long non-coding RNA (539 nucleotides) under Mus pahari (shrew mouse). RNAcentral's name for it is "expressed sequence AW495222 (MGP_PahariEiJ_G0002364.1)". The record is from RNAcentral. Lineage: Eukaryota; Metazoa; Chordata; Mammalia; Rodentia; Muridae.
AAUGGAGCCCAGCGAGAGGAAGCAGAAGGAAAAACAAGAACCAAAAACUAUCAGAAACAUUGAGGCUAGACUACAGCGAUGUUUAACUCGCAAGAGGCGGCUUCUCUGUCCUUUUUUCUGAGCAUGGGGACAAAACUGUCCUGUUUUCUGAGGGCAGCUGACCUCGCCUGAGUCCUGGCUGUAGACUGAGUUUCCUGCAGCAGGCAGGACCCGGCUUCCUGCAAGCUUGCAUAGAUGAUAAGGUCCAAGGUAUAGGAAAUCCUGAUAGCAGUGACCGGAAUGUCCGAGAUCUUUAAAGACUUGGUUUGAAGAAACUUGAAGACGUCAUCGCUGAGAUCUUCUGAGGUCAGCUUCUGAAGGACUCUCCUCGCGUACGGCCCUGCAACUCCCAGGACCCCAAGCUCAUCGGUUACGUUUUGAAUUUCCACAUCAUAUCCACCUCUGAAGGCUGCUUCUUCAAUCCAUCUGCAUUGGGGUCAUAAGCCUGGUUAAACGUUGCUUGAAUAAUGCAUGUUUCUACCAUUCUAUGUCUCUGAAGU